Molecule: long non-coding RNA, 259 nt
Organism: Oreochromis niloticus (Nile tilapia)
Lineage: Eukaryota; Metazoa; Chordata; Actinopteri; Cichliformes; Cichlidae
Exons: 3
Source: RefSeq, a predicted model, not a curated record
GACUGCACAGUUUCUGUGACUGAGCCUCCAAAACACCUUCUUUGAAACCACACAUGAUAGAAGGACUUUACGUUUGCAGCAGCACUACUAAAGUUGGCAGGAAUGUUGCUGCAGGAAAACAUCCCUGGAGAUCACCAUCAUUGUCAGACUGACUGUGCCUCCUCUGUGCAGUGUCAAGAUCCUCCCUAAAUGAGUGUUCCUCAGCUAUCCUGCUUCUGUACUGCUUGCCACACAUCAAACACUGGCUGGGUGACAGGAC